This 253-nucleotide ribosomal RNA is filed under the name uncultured bacterium. Its description in RNAcentral is "partial 16S ribosomal RNA". It matches the Rfam family "Bacterial small subunit ribosomal RNA", at positions 524 to 776 of the family's 1533-position model. The record is from RNAcentral.
UACAGAGGUGGCAAUCGUUGUUCGGAAUUACUGGGCGUAAAGGGCGCGUAGGCGGCCUUCUCAGUCAGACGUGAAAUCCCCCGGCUUAACCUGGGAACUGCGUCUGAUACUGGAAGGCUCGAGUAUGGGAGAGGGAUGUAGAAUUCCAGGUGUAGCGGUGAAAUGCGUAGAUAUCUGGAGGAAUACCGGUGGCGAAGGCGGCAUCCUGGACCAUUACUGACGCUGAGGCGCGAAAGCUAGGGGAGCAAACGGG